AGCGUACACGGUGGAUGCCCUGGCAGUCAGAGGCGAUGAAGGACGUGCUAAUCUGCGAUAAGCGUCGGUAAGGUGAUAUGAACCGUUAUAACCGGCGAUUUCCGAAUGGGGAAACCCAGUGUGUUUCGACACACUAUCAUUAACUGAAUCCAUAGGUUAAUGAGGCGAACCGGGGGAACUGAAACAUCUAAGUACCCCGAGGAAAAGAAAUCAACCGAGAUUCCCCCAGUAGCGGCGAGCGAACGGGGAGGAGCCCAGAGCCUGAAUCAGUGUGUGUGUUAGUGGAAGCGUCUGGAAAGGCGCGCGAUACAGGGUGACAGCCCCGUACACAAAAAUGCACAUGCUGUGAGCUCGAUGAGUAGGGCGGGACACGUGGUAUCCUGUCUGAAUAUGGGGGGACCAUCCUCCAAGGCUAAAUACUCCUGACUGACCGAUAGUGAACCAGUACCGUGAGGGAAAGGCGAAAAGAACCCCGGCGAGGGGAGUGAAAAAGAACCUGAAACCGUGUACGUACAAGCAGUGGGAGCCUCUUUUAUGGGGUGACUGCGUACCUUUUGUAUAAUGGGUCAGCGACUUAUAUUCUGUAGCAAGGUUAACCGAAUAGGGGAGCCGAAGGGAAACCGAGUCUUAACUGGGCGUUAAGUUGCAGGGUAUAGACCCGAAACCCGGUGAUCUAGCCAUGGGCAGGUUGAAGGUUGGGUAACACUAACUGGAGGACCGAACCGACUAAUGUUGAAAAAUUAGCGGAUGACUUGUGGCUGGGGGUGAAAGGCCAAUCAAACCGGGAGAUAGCUGGUUCUCCCCGAAAGCUAUUUAGGUAGCGCCUCGUGAAUUCAUCUCCGGGGGUAGAGCACUGUUUCGGCAAGGGGGUCAUCCCGACUUACCAACCCGAUGCAAACUGCGAAUACCGGAGAAUGUUAUCACGGGAGACACACGGCGGGUGCUAACGUCCGUCGUGAAGAGGGAAACAACCCAGACCGCCAGCUAAGGUCCCAAAGUCAUGGUUAAGUGGGAAACGAUGUGGGAAGGCCCAGACAGCCAGGAUGUUGGCUUAGAAGCAGCCAUCAUUUAAAGAAAGCGUAAUAGCUCACUGGUCGAGUCGGCCUGCGCGGAAGAUGUAACGGGGCUAAACCAUGCACCGAAGCUGCGGCAGCGACGCUUAUGCGUUGUUGGGUAGGGGAGCGUUCUGUAAGCCUGUGAAGGUGUGCUGUGAGGCAUGCUGGAGGUAUCAGAAGUGCGAAUGCUGACAUAAGUAACGAUAAAGCGGGUGAAAAGCCCGCUCGCCGGAAGACCAAGGGUUCCUGUCCAACGUUAAUCGGGGCAGGGUGAGUCGACCCCUAAGGCGAGGCCGAAAGGCGUAGUCGAUGGGAAACAGGUUAAUAUUCCUGUACUUGGUGUUACUGCGAAGGGGGGACGGAGAAGGCUAUGUUGGCCGGGCGACGGUUGUCCCGGUUUAAGCGUGUAGGCUGGUUUUCCAGGCAAAUCCGGAAAAUCAAGGCUGAGGCGUGAUGACGAGGCACUACGGUGCUGAAGCAACAAAUGCCCUGCUUCCAGGAAAAGCCUCUAAGCAUCAGGUAACAUCAAAUCGUACCCCAAACCGACACAGGUGGUCAGGUAGAGAAUACCAAGGCGCUUGAGAGAACUCGGGUGAAGGAACUAGGCAAAAUGGUGCCGUAACUUCGGGAGAAGGCACGCUGAUAUGUAGGUGAAGCGACUUGCUCGUGGAGCUGAAAUCAGUCGAAGAUACCAGCUGGCUGCAACUGUUUAUUAAAAACACAGCACUGUGCAAACACGAAAGUGGACGUAUACGGUGUGACGCCUGCCCGGUGCCGGAAGGUUAAUUGAUGGGGUUAGCGGCAACGCGAAGCUCUUGAUCGAAGCCCCGGUAAACGGCGGCCGUAACUAUAACGGUCCUAAGGUAGCGAAAUUCCUUGUCGGGUAAGUUCCGACCUGCACGAAUGGCGUAAUGAUGGCCAGGCUGUCUCCACCCGAGACUCAGUGAAAUUGAACUCGCUGUGAAGAUGCAGUGUACCCGCGGCAAGACGGAAAGACCCCGUGAACCUUUACUAUAGCUUGACACUGAACAUUGAGCCUUGAUGUGUAGGAUAGGUGGGAGGCUUUGAAGUGUGGACGCCAGUCUGCAUGGAGCCGACCUUGAAAUACCACCCUUUAAUGUUUGAUGUUCUAACGUUGACCCGUAAUCCGGGUUGCGGACAGUGUCUGGUGGGUAGUUUGACUGGGGCGGUCUCCUCCUAAAGAGUAACGGAGGAGCACGAAGGUUGGCUAAUCCUGGUCGGACAUCAGGAGGUUAGUGCAAUGGCAUAAGCCAGCUUGACUGCGAGCGUGACGGCGCGAGCAGGUGCGAAAGCAGGUCAUAGUGAUCCGGUGGUUCUGAAUGGAAGGGCCAUCGCUCAACGGAUAAAAGGUACUCCGGGGAUAACAGGCUGAUACCGCCCAAGAGUUCAUAUCGACGGCGGUGUUUGGCACCUCGAUGUCGGCUCAUCACAUCCUGGGGCUGAAGUAGGUCCCAAGGGUAUGGCUGUUCGCCAUUUAAAGUGGUACGCGAGCUGGGUUUAGAACGUCGUGAGACAGUUCGGUCCCUAUCUGCCGUGGGCGCUGGAGAACUGAGGGGGGCUGCUCCUAGUACGAGAGGACCGGAGUGGACGCAUCACUGGUGUUCGGGUUGUCAUGCCAAUGGCACUGCCCGGUAGCUAAAUGCGGAAGAGAUAAGUGCUGAAAGCAUCUAAGCACGAAACUUGCCCCGAGAUGAGUUCUCCCUGACUCCUUGA
RNAcentral lists this ribosomal RNA (2789 nucleotides) under human gut metagenome. Its description in RNAcentral is "bacterial LSU rRNA". It matches the Rfam family "Bacterial large subunit ribosomal RNA". The record is from RNAcentral.